RNAcentral lists this ribosomal RNA (429 nucleotides) under Pseudomonadota bacterium. RNAcentral's name for it is "Proteobacteria bacterium partial 16S ribosomal RNA". It matches the Rfam family "Bacterial small subunit ribosomal RNA", at positions 355 to 776 of the family's 1533-position model. The record is from RNAcentral. Lineage: Bacteria; Pseudomonadati; Pseudomonadota.
UGGGGAAUAUUGGACAAUGGGCGAAAGCCUGAUCCAGCCAUGCCGCGUGUGUGAAGAAGGUCUUCGGAUUGUAAAGCACUUUAAGUUGGGAGGAAGGGCAGUAAGCGAAUACCUUGCUGUUUUGACGUUACCGACAGAAUAAGCACCGGCUAACUCUGUGCCAGCAGCCGCGGUAAUACAGAGGGUGCAAGCGUUAAUCGGAAUUACUGGGCGUAAAGCGCGCGUAGGUGGUUCGUUAAGUUGAAUGUGAAAGCCCCGGGCUCAACCUGGGAACUGCAUCCAAAACUGGCGAGCUAGAGUAUGGGAGAGGAUGGUAGAAUUCCAGGUGUAGCGGUGAAAUGCGUAGAGAUCUGGAGGAAUACCGAUGGCGAAGGCAGCCAUCUGGCCUAAUACUGACGCUGAGGUACGAAAGCAUGGGGAGCAAACAGG